This 1668-nucleotide long non-coding RNA is filed under the name Olea europaea subsp. europaea. The record is from RNAcentral. Lineage: Eukaryota; Viridiplantae; Streptophyta; Magnoliopsida; Lamiales; Oleaceae.
CAAAACUUAGGUGGCCCAUCCAAUUUACAGCCUCAAUCUCUUCCAGCUGCACCCCAAAACCGUAGUACCUCUCUCUCUCUCUCUCUCACACACACACACACACACUCACUAACUAUUUGCAUCGCCGGGAAAAAUCUUAAGGCAAUUUUUCGUCCUCUCAAUUCUCACCAGAAUCAUCAUUGGUGAAAUUACCUCCUAUUUGCUUCUCCUUGCAGCGUCCUUCUAUUUUCUCGAUCGCUACCUGCUUCGCUUCCUCUGGCAUCGAAAUUGUUAGAUUUUUCUUCAUUCUCUCCCCAUGGUGUGCGCCUGAAUAUGUACGUGUCCGUUUCUUAUAUGAGUGUUUUUUUUUUUUUUUUUUAAUUUGGGAAAAAUGGCUCAUACAAUUCUGAAUUCACGAUUUCGAUUAAGGACUGAAGCUCUUAAUAUAGAACCUUUUUGGGUUUAGGGAUUUUCCUACUUCUAUUAAUCCCAGCAUUGACAAGUUCGGGACAGUAAAAUUCUCAAUCGUCAGUACAGUCUGCCUUUGGGUGGUACUUGGUACGUGUCAUGUGCUUUUGAAUGAUCCUGUAUUUCAAUUUGGUUCUCUACAGACCUAUUUCUCCACUGUGGGUAAGCUAUGGAUUUUAGACGUACAACAUAAUGAAUGUUGGAGCUAUAGUCAGUACUAUAAAGUGACUGUAUUUUCUAUAAUGAAGUAAAAGUCAUGAAAUUAAUAUAUUUUACCGGUUGAAUUACUGUAGGGGGAAGGGGUACCGCUACACUUAUUAGUCCAACAAAAAUAGGUAGCUCCAUUCAAUUCUCAAAACAAAUUUUGGUGCUAUAAUAAUCAAAUGGUUAUAAUGCACCGUUUAUGCUUAGGAAGACAAUACAAAAGAUAAUGGUAUUGUUGUGUCAUGGGGAAAUGCAUUGGCUUAGUAGGAAGAUCACUUAUUGAGAUUGGGCUUUACCUCUCCUUUAUGAGCAUAAAGACAUUGUUUUCUGGAAUUAAAAAAAAAUCUUAUUGGAUGUAUUAGAUUUUGAAUAGAAUUAUGCUAAUAACAACAAGGGGUUGAUUAGUUGGCUUGAGAAUUUGCUUCGAGAAGCUCAGUUAAGAAGAUGAAAGUCUGAAAGCUCUUUAGAGUUCUCAUGGUCGGGAAGCUUAGCAACAACUAUUUUAUACGUACUCAAGUUGAGAGACGAAGAUAUUGGAUACUUUUACUAAGACCAAGAACAAAUGUAAAACAAAUUUGUGAUCAAGUUUGUUUACUAGAUAAACACGAGGAAUAUUUUUCAUAGAAUAUCUAUUUUGGAGUAGAUGCAUAAUUUAUUGUGUUUGCUUGGGUAAGGUUGUUCUCGGCACUAGAGAUUUGUUAACAGGCCAUCUAAGCAUCUCCUAGAUAUUCUAAAUAUAAGAUACUCUUUAUUUUAUAGAGUCAUUGCUUUAAAAUAAGUUUCACAAGACUCCAUUUUAACUUUUUAAAGUAGAGAGUGAAUUUGACUCCAAAUUUGAAAAGCCUAACCCACUCUCUAUUCUUACUUUAUAAAUAUUGCAUUUAAUUAGUUACAGAUUUCAAUACUCCACUUCUUAAAUUAUUUUAAUCUUAUUUGAAUUGAUUGAUCAUUGAUAUCUAAAUUAUUAUUAUUAUUAUUAUUAUUAUUAUUAUUAUUAUUAUUAUUAUUAUAAAUAAG